AAGUAGAAUUCCAGGUGUAGCGGUGAAAAUGCGUAGAGAUCUGGAGGAAUACCGAUGGCGAAGGCAGCUUUCCUGGCAUCAUACUGACACUGAGGCUCGAAAGCGUGGGUAGCAAACAGGAUUAGAUACCCUGGUAGUCCACGCCGUAAACGAUGUCUACUAGUCGUUGGGUCCCUUGAGGACUUAGUGACGCAGCUAACGCAAUAAGUAGACCGCCUGGGGAGUACGGCCGCAAGGUUAAAACUCAAAUGAAUUGACGGGGGCCCGCACAAGCGGUGGAGCAUGUGGUUUAAUUCGAUGCAACGCGAAGAACCUUACCUGGUCUUGACAUACACAGAAUCUUGUAGAGAUACGAGAGUGCCUUCGGGAAUUGUGAUACAGGUGCUGCAUGGCUGUCGUCAGCUCGUGUCGUGAGAUGUUGGGUUAAGUCCCGCAACGAGCGCAACCCUUGUCCUUAGUUACCAGCGGGUUAAGCCGGGAACUCUAAGGAUACUGCCAGUGACAAACUGGAGGAAGGCGGGGACGACGUCAAGUCAUCAUGGCCCUUACGACCAGGGCUACACACGUGCUACAAUGGUAGGUACAGAGGGCAGCUACACAGCGAUGUGAUGCGAAUCUCAAAAAGCCUAUCGUAGUCCAGAUUGGAGUCUGCAACUCGACUCCAUGAAGUAGGAAUCGCUAGUAAUCGCGGAUCAGAAUGCCGCGGUGAAUACGUUCCCGGGCCUUGUACACACCGCC
This 738-nucleotide ribosomal RNA is filed under the name Psychrobacter celer. RNAcentral's name for it is "bacterial SSU rRNA". It matches the Rfam family "Bacterial small subunit ribosomal RNA", at positions 659 to 1394 of the family's 1533-position model. Lineage: Bacteria; Pseudomonadati; Pseudomonadota; Gammaproteobacteria; Moraxellales; Moraxellaceae. The record is from RNAcentral.